GAUGAACGCUGGCGGCGUGCCUAAUACAUGCAAGUCGAGCGAACGGACGAGAAGCUUGCUUCUCUGAUGUUAGCGGCGGACGGGUGAGUAACACGUGGAUAACCUACCUAUAAGACUGGGAUAACUUCGGGAAACCGGAGCUAAUACCGGAUAAUAUUUUGAACCGCAUGGUUCAAAAGUGAAAGACGGUCUUGCUGUCACUUAUAGAUGGAUCCGCGCUGCAUUAGCUAGUCGGUAAGGUAACGGCUUACCAAGGCAACGAUGCAUAGCCGACCUGAGAGGGUGAUCGGCCACACUGGAACUGAGACACGGUCCAGACUCCUACGGGAGGCAGCAGUAGGGAAGCUUCCGCAAUGGGCGAAAGCCUGACGGAGCAACGCCGCGUGAGUGAUGAAGGUCUUCGGAUCGUAAAACUCUGUUAUUAGGGAAGAACAUAUGUGUAAGUAACUGUGCACAUCUUGACGGUACCUAAUCAGAAAGCCACGGCUAACUACGU
RNAcentral lists this ribosomal RNA (496 nucleotides) under uncultured bacterium. RNAcentral describes it as "partial 16S ribosomal RNA". It matches the Rfam family "Bacterial small subunit ribosomal RNA", at positions 28 to 506 of the family's 1533-position model. The record is from RNAcentral.